Molecule: transfer RNA, 58 nt
Filed under: Acanthochitona mahensis
Lineage: Eukaryota; Metazoa; Mollusca; Polyplacophora; Chitonida; Acanthochitonidae
Description: tRNA-Arg
Source: RNAcentral
UGAAAAUGAAUAGUCAUAAAUGGUUUCGGCCCAUUCAUUAGCGAAAAUGGUCGCUUUA